GAAGGAGGAGCUUGCUCUUCUGGAUGAGUUGCGAACGGGUGAGUAACGCGUAGGUAACCUGCCUGGUAGCGGGGGAUAACUAUUGGAAACGAUAGCUAAUACCGCAUAAGAGUAGAUGUUGCAUGACAUUUGCUUAAAAGGUGCAAUUGCACCACUACCAGAUGGACCUGCGUUGUAUUAGCUAGUUGGUGGGGUAACGGCUCACCAAGGCGACGAUACAUAGCCGACCUGAGAGGGUGAUCGGCCACACUGGGACUGAGACACGGCCCAGACUCCUACGGGAGGCAGCAGUAGGGAAUCUUCGGCAAUGGACGGAAGUCUGACCGAGCAACGCCGCGUGAGUGAAGAAGGUUUUCGGAUCGUAAAGCUCUGUUGUAAGAGAAGAACGAGUGUGAGAGUGGAAAGUUCACACUGUGACGGUAUCUUACCAGAAAGGGACGGCUAACUACGUGCCAGCAGCCGCGGUAAUACGUAGGUCCCGAGCGUUGUCCGGAUUUAUUGGGCGUAAAGCGAGCGCAGGCGGUUAGAUAAGUCUGAAGUUAAAGGCUGUGGCUUAACCAUAGUACGCUUUGGAAACUGUUUAACUUGAGUGCAAGAGGGGAGAGUGGAAUUCCAUGUGUAGCGGUGAAAUGCGUAGAUAUAUGGAGGAACACCGGUGGCGAAAGCGGCUCUCUGGCU
Molecule: ribosomal RNA, 678 nt
Filed under: uncultured Bacilli bacterium
Lineage: Bacteria; Bacillati; Bacillota; Bacilli
Description: bacterial SSU rRNA
Rfam family: Bacterial small subunit ribosomal RNA
Source: RNAcentral